UUCUUCUCUUCUUCAUCUCUAGGGCUGGUUUUCUCUUCUUCAUGUCCAAUCUUGUUUGAGUAGAAGCUUAGAAGGAGGUGAAGCAUUGGAUCGAGGCUAAGAGUUGGCCGAGGAUUAGUUUGCGAGGAAGAGAAAUCAUCAAUUUUUCUGUUGCAGGUAGUAGGUGUGACCGUGUGGCAGCGUACUGGGCAUUUACUACUAUU
Long non-coding RNA from Dioscorea cayenensis subsp. rotundata (Guinea yam), 203 nucleotides. RefSeq lists it as uncharacterized. Lineage: Eukaryota; Viridiplantae; Streptophyta; Magnoliopsida; Dioscoreales; Dioscoreaceae. The record is from RefSeq and is a predicted model, not a curated record. The transcript has 3 exons.